RNAcentral lists this long non-coding RNA (773 nucleotides) under Rattus norvegicus (Norway rat). RNAcentral's name for it is "long non-coding RNA NONRATT022416". The record is from RNAcentral. Lineage: Eukaryota; Metazoa; Chordata; Mammalia; Rodentia; Muridae.
CACAGCCUUCACUUGUCAGGUAGAGAGAACUUGGCAGUGCUGCUUCGGGAUUUGCCUUUUCCUUUUGGCCUGUCAACAACACCGGCUUCUCUCAAGUGGUCCCCUAGUUUGUCUUGGGGUGGAAGCUGAGACAACACAGAUAGGAAGGACCCCAGUCUUCCUUCAGGAGUUCCCUUCUGGAGGAGUCAGAGGUAGAAAAGAAAGUCAUUAUUAAAUCCUAAACGUAGUAGUCAUUUGACAGGGAGUGAGUAACCGUUAACCAGGGGUCAGAGGAUAAUCAGAGACCUCAGUCAAGAGCUCUGCCCUGAGUAAACGUGAUGAGUUACAAGACAGAUAGCAAGCUCGCUGGGUAUUCCAAAGCUUAUAGCUUGCUAGAAAGAGAGUUCAAGGAAUUACAAAACAGCAGAAGCAAGGGCAUUAAUGCUUAUCCUGUAAGUAGUGACCUGAUGAGUUGGAAAGCUGAGAUUGAAGGACUUAAGUAUUCAGUUUGCGAAGGGCUUGUUUUCCACCUGACAAUAGAUUUUUCACAAGACUACAACCUUGUUCCUCCAGUUGUGAAAUUUGUAACAAUUCCUUUUCAUCCAAAUGUACACCCGUAUACCGGUCAACCCAGUCUAGGCAUUUUGGACAAGCCAGACAUGUGGGACACUAGUUAUACAAUACUCAGGAUCUUAUUUGAUCUACAGAUGUUGCUUUCUUACCCUAUGGUAAAAAAUCCAUUGAACUUGGAAGCAGCCGAGCUGCUGGUUAAAGAUGAGUCUUUGUACAGAACA